This 22-nucleotide microRNA is filed under the name Sarcophilus harrisii (Tasmanian devil). RNAcentral's name for it is "Sha-Mir-7378_5p (mature (co-guide))". The record is from RNAcentral. Lineage: Eukaryota; Metazoa; Chordata; Mammalia; Dasyuromorphia; Dasyuridae.
GUGGGGCAUCUUCCAUGGAACU